This 2935-nucleotide ribosomal RNA is filed under the name Nippostrongylus brasiliensis. Its description in RNAcentral is "eukaryotic LSU rRNA". The stretch from base 4 to 2470 matches the Rfam family "Eukaryotic large subunit ribosomal RNA". Lineage: Eukaryota; Metazoa; Nematoda; Chromadorea; Rhabditida; Heligmosomidae. The record is from RNAcentral.
UUGCAACCUGAACUCAGGCGUGAUUACCCGCUGAACUUAAGCAUAUCAUUUAGCGGAGGAAAAGAAACUAACAAGGAUUCCCCUAGUAACGGCGAGUGAACGGGAGAAGCCCAGCGCUGAAUCUUUCGGUGUUACACCGUUAAGAAAUGUAGCGUAUAGGUGUGGUUUUCAGUUUGUGCUACUUAUCCAAAGUCCCUUUGAUAGGGCCACAUUCCCGAGAGGGUGCGAGACCUGUGCGGAUAGUGGAGCAAGCUGUACGAUCAUACCUUGGAGUCGGGUUGCUUGAAAGUGCAGCCUAAAGUGGGUGAUAAACUUCAUCUAAGGCUAAAUAUAGACGCGAAUUCGAUAGCAAACAAGUACUGUGAAGGAAAGUUGCAAAGAACUUUGAAGAGAGAGUUCAAGAGAACGUGAAAUCGCUGGAGUGGAAACGAGAGAGUUGACGUAGUCCGGUGACUAAGUUUGCCGAAAUCGCUUAAUUGUGAUUAAGGUGAAUGUAUGUUGCCUAUGGCUGCGCUGACAGCACUGGUUGUACGUUCCGAACCGUUUUCGUUGCCCAAUUUUCGAAUUGGUGUCUUGUUUACGGGUAGGUUUGUUAUGACUAGUGUUUUAUCCUGUUUUAUGCAGGGUGUCAGUGUGAAGGUCGACCACCUCUCCGACCCGUCUUGAAACACGGACCGAGGAGUGUAACUUGUACGCGAGUCAAAGGGUGGAAACCCCAAGGCGCAAUGAAAGUAAAGGUCGGUUAACCGACUGACAUGGGAUCCGUUUCGUUUUGAAGCGGCGCACCAUGGCCCUGUCUUGUCUGCUUGCAGAUGGGCAGCGGUAGAGCGUACAGGUUGCGACCCGAAAGAUGGUGAACUAUGCCUGAGCAGGACGAAGUCAGAGGAAACUCUGGUGGAAGUCCGUAUCGGUUCUGACGUGCAAAUCGAUCGAUAGACUUGGGUAUAGGGGCGAAAGACUAAUCGAACCAUCUAGUAGCUGGUUCCUCCGAAGUUUCCCCCAGGAUAGCUGGAGUUCAUUGCGGUUAUAUCCGGUAAAGCGAAUGAUUAGAGGACUUGGGGUCGAAACGACCUCAACCUAUUCUCAAACUUUCAAUGGGUAUGUUGUCUCGGUUUCUUUGUUGAACUGUUGACACGAACGCGAACUCCAAGUGGGCCAUUUUUGGUAAGCAGAACUGGCGCUGUGGGAUGAACCAAACGUUGGGUUAAGGUGCCUAACUUUUCGCUCAUGAGACCCCAUAAAAGGCGUUGGUUGAUAUAGACAGCAGGACGGUGGCCAUGGAAGUCGGUACCCGCUAAGGAGUGUGUAACAACUCACCUGCCGAAUCAACUAGCCCUGAAAAUGGAUGGCGCUUGAGCGAGAGACCUAUACCCAACCGUUGCUGGCUUGUGCGUGCCUGUCGCCUGGCUGCAACGAGUAGGAGGGUCGUGGCGGUUGCGUCGAAGGUUUUGGGCGUAGGCCCAACUGGAGCUUCCGUCAGUGCAGAUCUCGGUGGUAGUAGCAAAUAUUUAAGUUCGAUCCUUGAAGACUGAAGUGGAGAAGGGUUCCACGUGAACAGUAGUUGAAUGUGGGUCAGUCGAUCCUAAGAUACUGGCUUAUGCCUUGUAUCAUCGAGAGGAAAAGUCUCUUUCUCUCGGAUAUCAAAAGGGAAUAGGGUUAAUAUUCCCUAACGCAGACACAGAGAUUGUGGCUCUUACGAGUCACUUGCGCGGUAACGCAUUCGAACUUGGUUACGUCGCUCAGAGACCGAGCUAGAGUUCUCUUCUCUAGUUAAGGAACGGACUCCCUGGAAUCGGUUCAGCCGUAGAUAGGGACGUUGUUUCCGUAAAGCAUCGCGGUUUCUGUGAUGUCUCGUGUUCUCUGGACGGCCCUUGAAAACCAAGGGAGGCUAUUAAUCUGUGCUGCAUCGUACCGAUAUCCGCAUCAGGUCUCCAAGGUGAACAGCCUCUAGUCGAUAGAAUAAUGUAGGUAAGGGAAGUCGGCAAAUUAGAUCCGUAACUUCGGGAAAAGGAUUGGCUCCAGUGACCGGGUCGGUUGGCUUGUUAACUGAUGCUUGUGCGGUUUCGUCCGUGGCUGGCUGAUACUAACGUUGAUGCUGGACUAGUGACAUGACUGCCUUGUGGACGUUUUCAGGUGUGUGCUUUGUCUUCGGACUUAGUAUCCUGAUCGACCAUCAAAACGGUCGAACUGGAACUGGUACGGACUCGGGGAAUCCGACUGUCUAAUUAAAACAGAGGAGACAGAUGGUCCUUGCGGACGUUUACUGUCUCUGAUUUCUGCCCAGUGCUCUGAAUGUUAAAUCGUAGUAAUUCGAGUAAGCGCGGGUAAACGGCGGAGUAACUAUGACUCUCUUAAGGUAGCCAAAUGCCUCGUCAGCUAACUACUGACGCGCAUGAAUGGUGGCAUGGAGGAGCCUCCCGUGGCGCCAUCGGGCAACAUCACCAUAUGGUGAUGGCAAAUCCUCCGGCGUUCGUCGACUACAGGGGUUAGUCGCUUGUUCGCAAACGGCAGAACCGUCCCUGUAGUGAACGCAAAGCACAACAGAGGUGUCAGAACGGUCAUAGAGGUGUCAGCAUAUGUCAAAACUGUAAAGCCCACACGACAACUGUGAUAAUGAUUUGCUGUAAUCGCGAUUCGUCUUUAUGUCGGUGUUAUUAAGGCCUGGACACUGGUCUAUACUUCUGUUUCAGAAAAUGGCUUCUGCAUCGAGCGAGACGAAAUAUCUAUUGGUGGACACUGUGAAACUGUUCAGCGCCAUCAGGACAAAGUGAGUUCCUUGGUCUGAUCAGUAUAAAAUUAAAUCAAAAUGGUGUAUUACAGAGGUGUCCGGACGUCUGUAGACAAAGGGAAAGUCUUGAAAUUGCUCGAGGAAGCAGAAGCCAGAGAGAAAAAGCGUUCGAGAAAGCUGGAGGAAGAACUCCAGAGACUCCGAAAG